UUUUUAUAUGUUGUGUAC
RNAcentral lists this non-coding RNA (18 nucleotides) under Arabidopsis thaliana (thale cress). The record is from RNAcentral. Lineage: Eukaryota; Viridiplantae; Streptophyta; Magnoliopsida; Brassicales; Brassicaceae.